GACGAACGCUGGCGGCGUGCCUAAUACAUGCAAGUAGAACGCUGAAGAGAGGAGCUUGCUCUUCUUGGAUGAGUUGCGAACGGGUGAGUAACGCGUAGGUAACCUGCCUUGUAGCGGGGGAUAACUAUUGGAAACGAUAGCUAAUACCGCAUAACAAUGGAUGACACAUGUCAUUUAUUUGAAAGGGGCAAUUGCUCCACUACAAAAUGGACCUGCGUUGUAUUAGCUAGUAGGUGAGGUAACGGCUCACCUAGGCGACGAUAGAUAGCCGACCUGAGAGGGGGAUCUGCCACGCUGGGACGGGGACACGGCCCAGACUCCUGCGGGAGGCAGCAGGAGGGGAUCUUCGGCAAUGGGGGCAACCCUGACCGAGCAACGCCGCGUGAGUGAAGAAGGUUGUCGGAUCGUAAAGCUCUGUUGUAAGUCAAGGACGAGUGUGAGAGUGGAAAGUUCACACUGUGACGGUAGCGUAACAGAAAGGGACGGCUAACUACGUG
Molecule: ribosomal RNA, 497 nt
Filed under: uncultured bacterium
Lineage: Bacteria
Description: partial 16S ribosomal RNA
Rfam family: Bacterial small subunit ribosomal RNA
Source: RNAcentral